ACCCAAGCAAACUGAAAUCUUAUUAAAAAACAAACAAAACCAAACCUCUAUGGCUUCAUUCCAAAAAACUCUUGAACCACCUUUCUCACACAGAAUUUCAUCUUUUAUUCACUACUUGACAAGUGGUAAUGAGUUAUCAGAGUAGGGGGUAGGCCCAAUCUUUGUUAAAGUCAAGGUAUAGCUUCACUGGCUUACUCAUGUGGAGAUGCCAGCCCAUGCCUACAAAAGUUCUUCUCUGCCGAAAAGCGCGAAUUCUUCCUCCUUAUCCUGACCUGAACUCCUGAGGGAAACACUCACUUAGAAUGAAAGAUGGUGGCUUUAGUGGUAACUUACCCUUUGUGAACUGUUCAUAGUUCUGGAAUUUUCCAGAAUAAUGCAUUUACUAGUAGCACUGGUGUUCAAGAAACUAACAAAGCUUAAUCUUAAUAAAAACUAGCAGACUUUCAGACACUGAAUGUUUCUUUACUAGUAAAACCUUUUUAUUUGUAGAAACAUUACACUGAGCUUAUUUUUCUUGAAUAAGUAUGAUAUUAAUUGUCAACGUUAUGUUGGUUUUCCUCUGUCUUCCACACUAAAAAGUUUCUUUCAU
Molecule: long non-coding RNA, 589 nt
Filed under: Bos taurus (domestic cattle)
Lineage: Eukaryota; Metazoa; Chordata; Mammalia; Artiodactyla; Bovidae
Description: long non-coding RNA NONBTAT009828
Source: RNAcentral